UCCUUUCUACAACGGAAUGAAGCAAUCAAAUAUCAGUUACCAAAAUCAAGACAUUUGUUACAGGUGCAUCGCUCGGCCUUUCUCUCCUCCCGCAAAAUGCUCCGACGCCUCCAGAGUCCAGAUGCAGACCACCUGGGCCUCCUCGCCCAUCCGACGCCAUCAGCGCCGCCACCACCACCGCAUAGGCCGAGAUGGCCACAACGACUCCGCCACCGCACCGUCCCGGACCACCACUCCUCGGCCUCUUCACCUCCUUUGCGAGCUUCUCGGCAACCUGAUGUCAACUCUAUCAGCUUCCUCGAUGUAGAGGAUGUCCAGCGGGGUGGCGUGGGAGAGGAGCUGCGCUCGGCCGGAGCUCAUGGCGGCCGCUUUUGGGAGGGCCGCCCUGUCGCAGUCGCCUUUGUUGUGUGCUUCAGGCGCACUGUUGGUUCAGGGGAGCUUUGAAUUUUGUCCUUAUCAUUUGGUGCUCUGGUUACAGUUCCUAUAGCUAUACAUGCAUGUAUGAGGAUCAGCUCUUCAUAUGUCACUGUUUUGUUAGUGCCCGCAAGCUGAAUCUGGCCAACAUUGACAUCUGGGACUCAUAUUGUUGUUUGUGUUGGAAGAAUGGCUAGGCCAGUUGUGCUAACUUUGGUUAUAUUCUCAUGGCUCCCCCUUUUUAUCCAUGCCAUGGUCUAUCAGUUUAUCUGCAUGAGUGAAUAUAUGAGUUCAUUUCUUUUAUUAAGAUGUUUUUUAUGAGUUCAUCUAUACCGAAGCAAUCCUCAUCUAAUAUUUAAUUUCUUCACGGUUACUGUGGGCUUGCUACAGGCGGCUGAUCAAGGGCGAUGCCAACAAGGAUGGAUAGAAGAUGUGCAAGCAGGUUAUCGCGAGGAGCUGGGAAAUAUUUUCUUGAUGUUCACUUCUGAAUUUGUUCUUACCUCCGUAUGUGCUAGCGUAUAGAAAAUUUCGGAUCUGUGAGUGUUGCAGCAGAUAUUCAGACAAUGCUUGAAGAUACGAUGUUGAAUUUUGAGAAGGAAAGGUAACUCAAGCUUGUGUGAACUCUGAAAUAGUGGUCAUAGUUACCAGUUGUCUUUUUGCAAGAACAAUUCCGCUUGAAACCCUACCUGGUUUCUGAAAAGUAAAAGUUCAUAUUUAUUUAGAUUGUAAACUCAGUGUUCUAUGUUCAUGUGCAAGCAGAUUUUACUGAAAGUACUGUCAAACACUUCCAUAGAGGUGUUCAAUUUAAAAUUCUUACAGCUUGAUAUUUACUGAUUUACAUACGUUAAAUGAUGACAAGUAAUUUGCACUGUAUGUAGUUUUAAAGUUCAUUGAACAAGGAGUACACCAAACUGAAACAUUCUGGUCAUGUUGUAGCAAUAAUAUUUCUGAUUUUUUAACUUAGCAGAAUAUAUUCACAUUUGGAUUAUAUCUAACUAUUUCCAUGCAAGUUACAUACUCCCUUCAUUUUUUUGAGGGACAGACUCCCUUCAAUUUUUAAUCCCAUAGUAAUACGAACAAAAUAAAUACUAGCUGUCCCUCUUGAAGGAUCCAACUUGUAAGGUCCAGCUCAUUCUUAUAGCCUUUCAAAACACCCGCUCUCCCCUUUAUCAUCUCUUGGUAAUUCUGCUAUUUCCUUCGCCGAAAAAACAAUCCGUCUAUAUAUUGUGGCAUGAAUUUGUGCAUUAUCUAUUCUCCAAUCUGAGGCAUCUUAGGGAUCGGAGGAUGUUACAGAGGCAUCAGAUGGUUGGAUUGAUCGGCAAGGACACUUUAGUCAUGUUUCUCAUGACUAGGCUUUAAUCUCUGUAAGUUGAUUUACUUCUUAUUAACCAGAUUGUUUUUUCUUACAUUCCACUCUGAAUCCAAUUCCUCAUAAAAUGAUGUUGCAAGUUUAUCUAAACUUAGAUGUACCUAGACACUCUUUAGUGUAUAGAUACAUCUAAAUUCAAACAAAUGUUCGACAUCUUUUUAUGAACGGAGGGAGUAUUAUAUUGAAAUGGAGGUAAUGCUAUUGUUGUCCCCACUAUUUCCUGGUAUUCAUAACUAGAUGCUAGCUCUUUUGCCCAAACCACCUUGAGAAUUAAUAUGGCUGAUACCAAGAUUGUCCUUGUACAAAUGAUUGAUAUUUGUAGACCACAAAAGUUCAGCAUAAGUAUACAAUAUAUAAAACUUUAUUCUUCUCAUUAUGGUAUUCCUAUUGCAUGGGAAUUACGGAGAUCAAACAAUGGUAUGAACCUUAACCGUGAUGAACUAACUAGCUGGUGAUAUGGUACUUCUUGAAAAGAUGUCAAAUUGUUAGAAAAAAAUUCAGAAAUUGUUGACCUUUUUAUUAGUUCAUGGUAUGUAUUGUACCAAUCCAAUAUCUGCACGGCCUCCAAAAUAGUACACCUUCUACAAUAUCUAGGCAGGCCUGGUGCUGUGGCAUGUUUACUGCAACCUUCUUCAUUUGAUGUCUUGCCAUACUCAACACGGCUCGUGUUUCAGAUAUUGAACCAAACCUACCUGUUCUGCCAAGAGGUCUUGUCCAAGGUUUACGAUAAUUUGCAAUCUCCUAUCUCAGCCUAAAUAAGGAAGACAAGGGAUGAUCUAAGAAAAUAGGAGACAGGGUACCCCAGAUGAAUGUCCUUCCAAGUGAUUUCGGUUUAUUGAUGCAUGCCAAAUCUCCUAUGUGAUGUCUCUGGGAGAGUAAAGAAGGAAGGGACGCAAGCAAGCAAAGGAAGAAAGGGUGUGUUGUCGCAGAAGCCUGCAUAGCCCUAUUUUGCCCCUUUUUUUAUUUUCCUCGCAAGACACAACUGUAUCCCCCCUUUUCCUAUUUUUCCCAGAUUACACCGAGCUACUUACGCUCGUUCCCUGUUGGAAAACAAGUUGGCAAUUCGGGUUGUUUUAAAACAUUUAAAUGUUUAGACAUGACAAAGAGAUUUUUGUAUCUGUAAGAAUUUUUCAGCACUCUAGCUUUAUCUCGAUGUCAAUUAUAACGGUUGUCAAAUAUGCUUCGAGACAA
This is a long non-coding RNA of Lolium perenne, 2974 nucleotides long. RefSeq lists it as uncharacterized. The record is from RefSeq and is a predicted model, not a curated record. NCBI's taxonomy places the organism in Eukaryota, Viridiplantae, Streptophyta, Magnoliopsida, Poales, Poaceae.